UUGGUGACCAGCGGAGGGAUCAUUACCGAGUUUACAACUCCCAAACCCAAUGUGAACGUUACCAAACUGUUGCCUCGGCGGGAUCUCUGCCCCGGGUGCGUCGCAGCCCCGGACCAAGGCGCCCGCCGGAGGACCAACCAAAACUCUUAUUGUAUACCCCCUCGCGGGUUUUUUUAUAAUCUGAGCCUUCUCGGCGCCUCUCGUAGGCGUUUCGAAAAUGAAUCAAAACUUUCAACAACGGAUCUCUUGGUUCUGGCAUCGAUGAAGAACGCAGCGAAAUGCGAUAAGUAAUGUGAAUUGCAGAAUUCAGUGAAUCAUCGAAUCUUUGAACGCACAUUGCGCCCGCCAGUAUUCUGGCGGGCAUGCCUGUCCGAGCGUCAUUUCAACCCUCGAACCCCUCCGGGGGGUCGGCGUUGGGGAUCGGCCCUCCCUUAGCGGGUGGCCGUCUCCGAAAUACAGUGGCGGUCUCGCCGCAGCCUCUCCUGCGCAGUAGUUUGCACACUCGCAUCGGGAGCGCGGCGCGUCCACAGCCGUUAAACACCCAACUUCUGAAAUGUUGACCUCGGAUCAGGUAGGAAUACCCGCUGAACUUAAGCAUAUCAA
RNAcentral lists this ribosomal RNA (603 nucleotides) under Trichoderma harzianum. Its description in RNAcentral is "eukaryotic LSU rRNA". The stretch from base 227 to 380 matches the Rfam family "5.8S ribosomal RNA". Lineage: Eukaryota; Fungi; Ascomycota; Sordariomycetes; Hypocreales; Hypocreaceae. The record is from RNAcentral.